Molecule: ribosomal RNA, 483 nt
Filed under: uncultured bacterium
Lineage: Bacteria
Description: bacterial SSU rRNA
Rfam family: Bacterial small subunit ribosomal RNA
Source: RNAcentral
CUGGCUCAGGAUGAACGCUGGCGGCGUGCAUAACACAUUCAAGUCGAACGGUGAAGUCCCUCGGGGGCGGAACAGUGGCGGACGGGUGAGUAACGCGUGAGCAACCUGCCGUAUAGUGGGGGAUAACACAGGGAAACUUGUGCUAAUACCGCAUGACACAAGGGGAUCGCAUGGUUUCCUUGUCAAAGAUUUAUUGCUGUACGAUGGGCUCGCGUAUGAUUAGACAGUUGGCAGGGUAACGGCCUACCAAAUCAACGAUCAUUAGCCGAACUGAGAGGUUGAACGGCCACAUUGGAACUGAGAAACGGUCCAGACUCCUACGGGAGGCAGCAGUGGGGAAUAUUGGGCAAUGGGCGAAAGCCUGAACCCCAGCGACGCCGCGUGAGGGAAGAAGGUCUUCGGAUUGUAAACCUCUUUCAGCAGGGAAGAAAAGAUGACGGUACCUGCAGAAGAAGUCACGGCUAACUACGUGCCAGCCGCCGC